Molecule: ribosomal RNA, 468 nt
Filed under: uncultured bacterium
Lineage: Bacteria
Description: partial 16S ribosomal RNA
Rfam family: Bacterial small subunit ribosomal RNA
Source: RNAcentral
GACGAACGCUGGCGGCGUGCUUAACACAUGCAAGUCGAACGGAAAGGCCCUGCUGUUGUGGGGUGCUCGAGUGGCGAACGGGUGAGUAACACGUGAGUAACCUGCCCUUGACUUUGGGAUAACUUCAGGAAACUGGGGCUAAUACCGGAUAGGAGCUCCUGCUGCAUGGUGGGGGUUGGAAAGUUUCGGCGGUUGGGGAUGGACUCGCGGCUUAGCAGCUUGUUGGUGGGGUAGUGGCUUACCAAGGCUUUGACGGGUAGCCGGCCUGAGAGGGUGACCGGCCACAUUGGGACUGAGAUACGGCCCAGACUCCUACGGGGGGCAGCAGUGGGGAAUAUUGCACAAUGGGCGGAAGCCUGAUGCAGCAACGCCGCGUGCGGGAUGACGGCCUUCGGGUUGUAAACCGCUUUCGCCUGUGACGAAGCGUGAGUGACGGUAAUGGGUAAAGAAGCACCGGCUAACUACGUG